ACCUACGGGAGGCAGCAGUAGGGAAUUUUCGUCAAUGGGCGCAAGCCUGAGCGAGCAAUGCCGCGUGAACGAGGAAGGUCUUCGGAUCGUAAAGUUCUGUUGAAGGGGAAAAAGAGCGGAGAGAGGAAAUGCUUUCUGAUUGAUAUUACCCUUCGAGGAAGUCACGGCUAACUACGUGCCAGCAGCCGCGGUAAUACGUAGGUGGCGAGCGUUAUCCGGAAUGAUUGGGCGUAAAGGGUGCGUAGGCGGCCUGCUAAGUCUGGAGUGAAAGGUACCGGCUCAACCGGUACAGGCUCUGGAAACUG
RNAcentral lists this ribosomal RNA (305 nucleotides) under uncultured bacterium. RNAcentral's name for it is "bacterial SSU rRNA". It matches the Rfam family "Bacterial small subunit ribosomal RNA", at positions 337 to 635 of the family's 1533-position model. The record is from RNAcentral.